RNAcentral lists this long non-coding RNA (703 nucleotides) under Androctonus crassicauda. The record is from RNAcentral. Lineage: Eukaryota; Metazoa; Arthropoda; Arachnida; Scorpiones; Buthidae.
CCGAUCUGGAAAGCCGAAGCGUUUCCACGCGGCCAAUCCGGCCGACAAUGGGAAUAUUAGUUAAGGUUCUGAAUAAGGAAAGUUGUCGGACUUUAUCCGGCCGCUGUUGUUUUUAGGGCGCGGUAGUGCCCGAACAAAGAUGUUCUCCCGAAAUGGAGAACUCGCAGUAGCAAAUCCUCGUUGUACCUCUGGUGUUUCCCAUCCCUCUGUGGACGGAGACGGUAGCGCCGGUUUGGUCGCAUUCUCGGCCAAGAAAAAUGGCUUCGGCCACACCGUGCACCAGGUACGGAUGCAGCAAACACAUACCCACGCUUGUUGCACCCGCGCGGGUUGGCUGUAUUUAUUCGUACUUGGUUUUUUCUUGUGGACCUAGAGAUAUUAGACAGACCCGCACCUAUGGACUAAGUUAUGAUUAAGCCCAGAGUAUUAUCGCAGAAGUUAUUAGCCUGUAGUACCCUCGAUGGUGGAGCGGGAGAACGGCCUUAUAGCGUGUUUCAGAAUACAAGACCAGCCACAUAAUUUCCCGUGACUGAAAGUGGUAGUAGAUGGUCCGAGGGGAGCCUAUUAAGUACCUUUCCAUCACCGCCAAAAGGCCGAUAGUCGAUUAGGUUAUGUUGGGUUUUAUUUACGCCACCUUAUCUUACUAGAACAUAUUUUUUUUGUCAACAGAUGACGCCACUUUCUACUCAGAGUACUGGGCGGC